UUCUGGAUCUCUCAGACCCAAUGGUAUUUAUUAUUUGCUCAAACAAGUUCAUAAAUGCAUCACCAUGUAAAUGAUCAAAAAUUAAAUCCAAAUGAUAAUCAUCGAGAUUAGGUGCUCACGGCUUCAGUACAACAUUUGCACCAUUACCGACUCAAAAGAGACUUCACCUUCCCUCAGUUCUCUUCCUUCCUUAAUGUUAGAUGUGUGCCCUAGAUGCC
Molecule: long non-coding RNA, 218 nt
Filed under: Elaeis guineensis (African oil palm)
Lineage: Eukaryota; Viridiplantae; Streptophyta; Magnoliopsida; Arecales; Arecaceae
Description: long non-coding RNA (EGUI_LNC012292)
Source: RNAcentral